GACGAACGCUGGCGGCGCGCUUAACACAUGCAAGUCGAACGGUAAGGCCUUUCGGGAUACACGAGUGGCGAACGGGUGAGUAACACGUGGGUGAUCUGCCCUGCACUUCGGGAUAAGCCCGGGAAACUGGGUCUAAUACCGGAUAGGACUGCGCGGUGCAUGCCGUGUGGUGGAAAGAUUUAUCGGUGCAGGAUGGGCCCGCGGCCUAUCAGCUUGUUGGUGGGGUAAUGGCCUACCAAGGCGACGACGGGUAGCCGGCCUGAGAGGGCGACCGGCCACACUGGGACUGAGACACGGCCCAGACUCCUACGGGAGGCAGCAGUGGGGAAUAUUGCACAAUGGGCGCAAGCCUGAUGCAGCGACGCCGCGUGAGGGAUGACGGCCUUCGGGUUGUAAACCUCUUUCAGCAGGGACGAAGCGUGAGUGACGGUACCUGCAGAAGAAGCACCGGCCAACUACGUG
This 462-nucleotide ribosomal RNA is filed under the name uncultured bacterium. RNAcentral's name for it is "partial 16S ribosomal RNA". It matches the Rfam family "Bacterial small subunit ribosomal RNA", at positions 28 to 507 of the family's 1533-position model. The record is from RNAcentral.